GGGCCAUAUAAUCUCCAUGGAAACGAUACUUUCAAAUGCCAAUACAUUUGCAUACCAAAUAUCAUUGACUUAACAUUAGCAGUUCAUCUUAAACUGAUCUUAUCACAAACUAAUACAUGUAAACAAAGCAAAAGUUUCAAAGUCAAUAGACCAUGACUGAGGGGGCGGGGCCAAAUAUUGUCCAUGGAAAUGAGAUGUGCUAAUGCUUAUACAACUGAACACCAAUUAACAUUGGCCUACCACUAAUGGUUCCCCUUGAACUGACCUAAUCACAACUAAUACAUGUUAACUUAGCAAAAUUUUUAAAAUCUAUAGACCAUGACUAAGGAGGCGGAGCCAAAUAAUCUCCAUGGAAAUGAGAUAUGCCAAUGCUUAUACAACUGCAUACCAAAUAUCAUUGACCUACCACUAGUGGUUCCCUAUAAAUUGACCUAAUCACAAACUAAAACAUGUAAACUAUGAAAAGUUUCAAAGUCAAUAUACCUUGACUGAGGGGGCAGGCCAAAUAAUCUCCAUGGUAAUGAGAUGUGCCAAUGCUAA
Molecule: long non-coding RNA, 540 nt
Filed under: Mytilus galloprovincialis (Mediterranean mussel)
Lineage: Eukaryota; Metazoa; Mollusca; Bivalvia; Mytilida; Mytilidae
Source: RNAcentral